GACGAACGCUGGCGGCGUGCUUAACACAUGCAAGUCGAACGGAAAGGCCCUGCUUUUGUGGGGUGCUCGAGUGGCGAACGGGUGAGUAACACGUGAGUAACCUGCCCUUGACUUUGGGAUAACUUCAGGAAACUGGGGCUAAUACCGGAUAGGAGCUCCUGCUGCAUGAUGGGGGUUGGAAAGUUUCGGCGGUUGGGGAUGGACUCGCGGCUUAUCAGCUUGUUGGUGGGGUAGUGGCUUACCAAGGCUUUGACGGGUAGCCGGCCUGAGAGGGUGACCGGCCACAUUGGGACUGAGAUACGGCCCAGACUCCUACGGGAGGCAGCAGUGGGGAAUAUUGCACAAUGGGCGGAAGCCUGAUGCAGCAACGCCGCGUGCGGGAUGACGGCCUUCGGGUUGUAAACCGCUUUCGCCUGUGACGAAGCGUGAGUGACGGGAAUGGGUAAAGAAGCACCGGCUAACUACGU
Molecule: ribosomal RNA, 467 nt
Filed under: uncultured bacterium
Lineage: Bacteria
Description: partial 16S ribosomal RNA
Rfam family: Bacterial small subunit ribosomal RNA
Source: RNAcentral